AUGCCUUCUGCUCCUCCUCCUCCUCACACUCCACUCGCCGCGCCGACCGCCGCCGUCUCCGUCACCUGCUCCUACCGGGAGGACGAUGACGGCGCCGCCUCGUGGUCGCUCUCCUCCGGCGCACGCUCCUCCUCGCUGCCGUCGUCGUCGCGGGGGCGCCGCCCGCCGCCGUACCGGCGGCUCCUCCACGACGAGGCGCGGCGCCUCCUCCAGGAGCGCCGCGGCCAGGGCGCCGGCGCCGAAACGCCCCGGUGGGUGCGCCGCACCGAGGGCCAGAUGGCCCGGUACGUCGAGGACGACCGCGCCGGCCACGUCCACGGCCGCCACGUCGUCGCCGCGGCCCGCGCCGCACGCGCCACCGCGUCCCACCCGCCCGCCGGCGGGUCCACCAUGCGAGAGGCCAUGGCCUCCUUCGUCGCCAAGCUCACCUUCCGCGAGAUGUGCGUCGUCCUCCGCGAGCAGCGCGGGUGGCGCCAGGCCCACGAUUUCUUCUCGUGGAUGAAGCUCCAGCUGUGCUACGAGCCCAGCGUGGUCGCCUACACCAUCCUCCUCAGGGCGUAUGGCAACGCCAGCAAGAUCGAGCUCGCCGAGGAGGCGUUCCUGGAGAUGCUCGAGGCCGGCGUGGAGCCGGACGCGGUGGCGUGCGGCACCCUGCUGUGCGUGUACGCGCGCCGGGGGAGGCACGGCGACAUGAUGCUCUUCUACGCCGCGACGCGCAGGCGCGGCGUGGCACCGCCCGUCUCCGCCUUCAACUUCAUGCUCUCCUCCCUGCAGAAGCACAGGCUCCACGGCAAGGUGAUCCACCUCUGGAAACACAUGAUGGAAAUGGAAGAAGCCAACAAUGUGGUGCCAAAUCACUUCACAUACACAGUUGUGAUCGGCUCAUUUGUCAAGGCGGGUCUCCUGGAGGAGGCCAUGGAUGUCCUGGGGAAGAUGAGGGCCUCCCGACUCGUCCCGGAGGAGGCGACUUACAGUUGCCUGAUCAGCUUGAGUUCCAGGCAUGGCAGAGGGGAGCAGGUUGUGAUGCUCUAUGAGGAGAUGAGGGCUCAUGGCAUUGUCCCCAGCAACUACACCUGUGCAUCCCUCCUGGCACUCUAUGACAAGAGUGAGGACUACUCGAAGGCGCUCUCGCUCUUCUCAGAGAUGGAGCGAAGCAGGGUUGUCAUUGAUGAGGUCAUCUAUGGGAUCCUCAUUAGGAUCUAUGGUAAGAUCGGGCUCUACGACGAUGCGCAGCGCACUUUCGAGGAAAUCGACAGUGCGGGUCUUCUGAGUGAUGAACAGACUUAUGUGGCAAUGGCUCAGGUUCACAUGAAUGCUCGCAACUAUGAUAAGGCGUUGCAGGUUUUGGGUUUGAUGAGGUCGAGGAAUGUGAAGCCUUCAAAGUUCUCUUACGGCGCUCUUCUUCGAUGUCAUGUCGCGAGGGAAGACAUAGCUGCAGCAGAAGAUGUCUUCAGAGCUCUGUGCAAAUAUGGCCUCCCUGAUGUGUUCUGCUGCAAUGACCUACUGAGAUUAUAUGUCAAGCUGGGCCAGCUAGAGAAGGCAAGUGCAUUCAUUCUGAAGAUGAGAAAAGAAGAUAUCCAGCUUGAUGAGGCCCUCUGCAUGACUGUAAUGGAAGUUUGCUGCAAAAGCGGGAUGAUCACCGAUGCGGAUAAGAUACUGAAAGAGAUGAACAAUGGUGGAGUGACCAUGAAGAGUUCAACAAUGGUUUCUAUUAUAGAGAUGUAUGCUAGAAACAGAACUAGUGUGAUGCAGGAACAAGAUAGUUCGUCGAAGGCACUAGCCUGUCGGACCGACAGUUCGGCACUGAACGCGACGUUAAAGUCAUUGUUGGACACACCUGGGGGUUCGUCCAUCGCGUGCCAAUUGAUCAGAAAAUUGGCUAGGGAAGGGAGGACAUGUGAGGCAAAAUUCCUUCAUGAACAGCUGACUCAGUUGGGAGUCAAGCCUGAAGAUUCUGCAACAUCUACUCUCAUUGUCCAAUAUGGCCAGGAACAGAAGUUACAUCAAGCAGAGGAACUGUUUGAGUCGGCAUCGACAUCGUUUCCAAUACGAGGGCCUGUCUACAAUGCCAUGGUCGACGCAUUAUGCAAGUGCGGCAAUAUCGGAGAGGCGUAUCAUCUCUUUAUGAAAAUGGCUGAUCAAGGCCAUAGCAGAGAUGUUGUGACAAUUAGCAUACUUGUCACUCACCUGACCAAACAUGGAAAGUUUCAGGAGGUGGAGAACAUCAUGCAUGGCUGCUUCCAUGGUGAAGUUGAGCUUGAUACUGUUGCGUAUAAUACAUUUAUCAAGUCGAUGCUCGAGUCAGGCAAACUAUACUCAGCUGUCAACAUAUAUGAUCGCAUGAUAUCCACUGGGGUUCCUCGGUCCUUGCAGACUUUCAAUAUAAUGAUAAGUGUUUAUGGCCUAGGAGGAAAGCUGGACAAGGCUGCUGAAAUGUUUGCUGCUGCACAGGAGCUAGGCUUACUGAUCGACGAGAAGAUAUACACCAACAUGCUUAACUUCUAUGGAAAGGCUGGGAGGCAUCAGGAGGCGUCUUCACUAUUCGAUAGAAUGAAGGAACUUGGUAUCAUGCCUGGAAAGAUCAGUUGCAACUCCAUGAUCAAUGCCUACGCCACUGCCAGGCUGCAUGAUGAAGCAGAGAUUGUUUUCCAGGAGAUGCAAUCACACGGUCAAGUUCCCGACUCGACGACAUACCUUGCAUUGAUCAGAUCAUACUCAGAAAGUAGAUGCUACUCCAAAGCUGAGAAAGCCAUCCAGAUGAUGUUGACCAGCGGCAUAACCCCUUCAUGCCCUCAUUUUAGCCACCUCAUUUUUGCCUUUCUGAAGGCAGACCAGAUUGAUGAAGCCCAGAGGAUCUGCAGCCAGAUGCAGGAGAUUGGCGUGGCUGUUGAUUUAGCAUGUUGCCGGGCAAUGAUGAGGGCGUACCUUGAGCACGGUCGCGUCGACGAGGGCAUAUCGCUCUUCGAGACAACACGCGGGUCACUGAAACCUGACAGCUUCAUCCUGAGUGCUGCAUUUCAUCUCUAUGAGCAUUCAGGCAGCGAGCCUGAAGCUGGGGAUGUGCUGGAAGCCAUCGGUCUACAUGGUGCCUCUUUUUUGAGAAGUCUAAAGGUUGGAUCAAAGUUGGAACCAACUUAA
RNAcentral lists this ribosomal RNA (3138 nucleotides) under Triticum aestivum (bread wheat). RNAcentral's name for it is "partial small subunit ribosomal RNA". The record is from RNAcentral. Lineage: Eukaryota; Viridiplantae; Streptophyta; Magnoliopsida; Poales; Poaceae.